RNAcentral lists this ribosomal RNA (449 nucleotides) under uncultured bacterium. Its description in RNAcentral is "bacterial SSU rRNA". It matches the Rfam family "Bacterial small subunit ribosomal RNA", at positions 354 to 796 of the family's 1533-position model. The record is from RNAcentral.
GUGGGGAAUCUUGCGCAAUGGGCGAAAGCCUGACGCAGCGACGCCGCGUGAGUGAUGAAGGCCUUCGGGUUGUAAAGCUCUGUGGGGAGAGAAGAAUAAGUGCAGGCUAAUACCCUGCAUGAUGACGGUAUCUCCUUAGCAAGCACCGGCUAACUCUGUGCCAGCAGCCGCGGUAAGACAGAGGGUGCAAACGUUGUUCGGAAUUACUGGGCGUAAAGCGAGUGUAGGCGGUUCGAUAAGUCGGAUGUGAAAGCCCCGGGCUCAACCCGGGAAGUGCACUCGAUACUGUCGAGCUAGAGUAUCGGAGAGGUUGGUGGAAUUCUCGGUGUAGAGGUGAAAUUCGUAGAUAUCGAGAGGAACACCGGUGGCGAAGGCGGCCAACUGGACGAAUACUGACGCUGAGACUCGAAAGCGUGGGGAGCAAACAGGAUUAGAAACCCCUGUAGUCC